This 253-nucleotide ribosomal RNA is filed under the name uncultured bacterium. Its description in RNAcentral is "partial 16S ribosomal RNA". It matches the Rfam family "Bacterial small subunit ribosomal RNA", at positions 524 to 776 of the family's 1533-position model. The record is from RNAcentral.
UACGUAGGGGGGCAAGCGUUGUCCGGAUUUAUUGGGCGUAAAGAGCGUGUAGGCGGCCAGGUAGGUCUGCUGUGAAAACUCGAGGCUCAACCUCGAGACGCCGGCGGAAACCAUCUGGCUAGAGUCCGGAAGAGGAGAGUGGAAUUCCUGGUGUAGCGGUGAAAUGCGCAGAUAUCAGGAAGAACACCCGUGGCGAAGGCGGCUCUCUGGGACGGUACUGACGCUGAGACGCGAAAGCGUGGGAGCGAACAGG